RNAcentral lists this ribosomal RNA (471 nucleotides) under uncultured bacterium. RNAcentral describes it as "bacterial SSU rRNA". It matches the Rfam family "Bacterial small subunit ribosomal RNA", at positions 33 to 507 of the family's 1533-position model. The record is from RNAcentral.
AGACGACGCUGGCGGCGUGCCUAACACAUGCAAGUCGAGCGGAGAUGUACUGAAGAUUUAUCGGAUGUACAUCUUAGCGGCGGACGGUGAGUAACGCGUGGCAACCUGCCUUUCACUGGGGGAUAACACAGGGAAACCUGUGCUAAUACCGCAUGACAUCACGUAGGGCAUCCUAUGUGAUCAAAGGAGAGAUCCGGUGGAAGAUGGGCCCGCGUCCAAUUAGCUGGUUGGUGAGGUAAAGGCUCACCAAGGCGACGAUUGGUAGCCGAACUGAGAGGUUGAUCGGCCACAUUGGGACUGAGACACGGCCCAGACUCCUACGGGAGGCAGCAGUGGGGAAUAUUGCGCAAUGGGGGGAACCCUGACGCAGCAACGCCGCGUGAAGGAAGAAGGUCUUCGGAUUGUAAACUUCUUUGAUGAGGGACGAAUAAAGUGACGGUACCUCAAAAACAAGCCACGGCUAACUACGUG